Hyaena hyaena (striped hyena) is the source of this 1608-nucleotide long non-coding RNA. RefSeq lists it as uncharacterized. The transcript is spliced from 3 exons. The record is from RefSeq and is a predicted model, not a curated record. NCBI's taxonomy places the organism in Eukaryota, Metazoa, Chordata, Mammalia, Carnivora, Hyaenidae.
GCGCGGCGGAGCCUGGCCAGCGCGGGCCCUUUGCCGCCCGGUCUCCCUCAGACCCUCCGCCCCAAAUCGCCGGUACCGAAUCCCACACCGGGCGGCUCCAGCGCUGGGACGCGCCCAGCGGCGGGACUGCGAGCGCGGACACGCGCAGGCGGCGGGAAAACCCCCGGCGGGGCGAGGCAUCGGCUUUCCUGCUGGGCUCCGCGCCGCCCCGGCCUCCAGGGUCCGUCCGUAGCUGGAGGCUCGACCAGGAGCCAAGUCGAGAUCCAUCCUCAUUCAGGAAAGGCUCCAAGCACCUCAGGGUCGCGGAGCACCAGCGUCAGGAAAACUCACGGCCUCCAUUUGCCUUAUAUAGAGAUUUCGCGGCCCUGGGCAGCGCCGGCGUUGGUGGUAUAGUGGUGAGCAUAGCUGCCUUCCAAGCAGUUGACCCGGGUUCGAUUCCCGGCCAACGCAAUUUCUUCUUUUUUUUUCCCCCUCCCCCCCGGGGAAAACCACGCGGGAUUCUUUUUUAAAAAAGCCUGAACCCAAACCAGGAACUGCAAGCGCUGACUUCUCUCCCGGGCUCAUCCGUCGCUGCGAAGCCCCCUGACUCUCUGCCGCUCGCUCCCGCCCGCCCUUUCCCGCUGCCACCUCUGGAGGAUCCUGCGCGCAGGUGCCGACGUCCGGGCGCCCAGGCUCGCAGGUUGGGACGAGGCAGCAAAGACACAGCGUUAUCAGCGGUCGGCAGCGUCACCGAAGUUUAGAAGUUCCCUCCAAAAGUAUGCUUGUCACAUGAGAAUUUCCUGGAUGAUGCACAGGAGUACGGGUCCUGGGGUUAUUUUGACCCUGGGUCUUCACUCUGGAAGCGAGUUUCCACCUGAUCUACCCCUGAAAGAGGCCUGCCACUGGGUGUAACUUUCUCCCGUCCGCGAAAUUUCCUGCUGCCCACUGGAAGAAAAUCCCAGGAUCCAGGCUCUGCCUGGAGCUCUGUAUUCCAAAUUGCCACUCUGCGGCUUGCAGAGUGCGUCUCCUGCACCCCCGACUUAGGCGCUCCUGCUUCCUUCCUCCCCGGCCUGUGGAUAGUCAAGUCCACCCCAGCCCGCGCUCUCAAGUUCGCGCUCUCGCCGCCGCCCUACUAGCACCAACGCGUGCAAGCAGAAGCGAGCACUGGUCUGACAAUCAGAACACCUGCUCUUAGGUCCCUAAGAAGCUGUCUGCUUUUGCGCAAGCCAUUUCUCUCUGGGCCUCGGUUUCUUCAUCUGCAACGUGGAAGAGCCAAGCUACAGUUUUUGAGACCCUUUGCGGCGCUACAGUCCUUUGAAGUUGUGCCCUGCAGAGCAUCUGGCGCACCAUAUAUGCUCAUUUUUAGAAAACAUAACAUUUCCCCUGAAUAUAAGAGUAGUAUACAGUCCUUCUAGAAAAUAUGAGAAAGAAGCAAACCACAGGGGAAUACGAGGCACCCAUAUUUCCAUCACCCAGGAAAUCCCUAUUAACGUUUUGCUGUGUGUUUAUCUCUUGGCAUUUCUUUUUUAAUGCAAAGUUGGAAUCACGGUGUGCAUAUCUGUAUUUUUUUUAACCUACUUGAGUGUUUCCUUUAAAAUGUGAAUAUUUCUAUACUCAUUAAAUGUUAGU